RNAcentral lists this ribosomal RNA (660 nucleotides) under Monoctonus nervosus. RNAcentral describes it as "partial 28S ribosomal RNA". The record is from RNAcentral. Lineage: Eukaryota; Metazoa; Arthropoda; Insecta; Hymenoptera; Braconidae.
CCCAAAAGAUCGAAUGGAAAGAUUCAUCGCCAAUAUGUUUAAUAUUUAUAAAUAUUAUGAUGUGAAAUUUUUUAUCGGCUUUAUUGUUGAUUUAAAAGUUUGUACAUAUGUUUAUUAAUUUAUUGUUUUACAUUGUCGGCGUGCACUUCUUUCCUAGUAGGACAUCGCGACCCGUUGGGUAUUGAUCUACGGCCAAAUUGGGUAGCCUUUAAUCGUUAAAACAUUAAAGACCAAUUUGUGUUUUCCUGAUCAAUUGCCCGGCGGUAUUCGUAUGGUAUUGAGUCGCAUUUAUUAUAAUUUGCGUCCUCCACCCAUCACAAGCAAGGCCAGUUAAAUAAUUUAUUAUUUUUGCUUAGUAGUGCGGACCUAGUGCCGUCAUUAAGCCUGGCCGGCUGUUGGUAUUUAGUAUGGUGUUCUGGGACUGACUUAAAAUUUAAUAAUACCGGUCGGCGAUGCUACUGCUUUGGGUACUUUCAGGACCCGUCUUGAAACACGGACCAAGGAGUCUAACAUGUGCGCAAGUCAUUGGGAUUUUUUUAAUUAAAAAAAUUAAACCUAAAGGCGUAAUGAAAGUAAAGAUUAUCUUUAUGAUAAUUUAGGGAGGAUGUUUUAUAUUACGAUAUAAAACCGCACUCCCGGGGCGUCUUAUUCUUAUUUAUA